RNAcentral lists this ribosomal RNA (483 nucleotides) under uncultured bacterium. RNAcentral describes it as "partial 16S ribosomal RNA". It matches the Rfam family "Bacterial small subunit ribosomal RNA", at positions 28 to 523 of the family's 1533-position model. The record is from RNAcentral.
GAUGAACGCUGGCGGCGUGCCUAAUACAUGCAAGUCGAGCGAACCACUUCGGUGGUGAGCGGCGAACGGGUGAGUAAUACGGAGGUGAUCUGCCCAUCAGACGGGGACACAGAUUGGAAACGAUCGCUAAUACCGGAUAGGUCGAAAGCUGAAAGGUGCUUCGGGCAACGCUUACGGAUGAGACUGCGGCGCGUUAGCCAGUUGGUAGGGUAAAGGCCUACAAAGGCGACGAUGCGUAGCCGACCUGAGAGGGUGAACGGCCACACUGGGACUUAGACACGGCCCAGACUCCUACGGGAGGCAGCAGUAGGGAAUCUUCGGCAAUGGGCGAAAGCCUGACCGAGCAACGCCGCGUGAAUGAUGAAGGCCUUCGGGUUGUAAAAUUCUGUUAUAAGGGAAGAACGACUUUAGUAGGAAAUGGCUAGAGUGUGACGGUACCUUAUGAGAAAGCCACGGCUAACUACGUGCCAGCAGCCGCAGUAA